UAUCUGAACUCUUAACGAACUCAUGAGUAUU
This 31-nucleotide ribosomal RNA is filed under the name Sundstroemia setigera. The record is from RNAcentral. Lineage: Eukaryota; Bacillariophyta; Coscinodiscophyceae; Rhizosoleniales; Rhizosoleniaceae.